UUGACCUCAAAUCAGGUAGGACUACCCGCUGAACUUAAGCAUAUCAAUAAGCGGAGGAAAAGAAACUAACAAGGAUUCCCCUAGUAACUGCGAGUGAAGCGGGAAAAGCUCAAAUUUAAAAUCUGGCAGUCUUUGGCUGUCCGAGUUGUAAUCUAGAGAAGUGCUAUCCGUGCUGGACCAUGUAUAAGUCUCCUGGAAUGG
RNAcentral lists this ribosomal RNA (201 nucleotides) under Amanita veldiei. RNAcentral describes it as "partial 28S ribosomal RNA". It matches the Rfam family "Eukaryotic large subunit ribosomal RNA", at positions 1 to 198 of the family's 3401-position model. The record is from RNAcentral. Lineage: Eukaryota; Fungi; Basidiomycota; Agaricomycetes; Agaricales; Amanitaceae.